RNAcentral lists this microRNA precursor (72 nucleotides) under Homo sapiens (human). RNAcentral's name for it is "mir-3689 microRNA precursor family". It matches the Rfam family "mir-3689 microRNA precursor family". Lineage: Eukaryota; Metazoa; Chordata; Mammalia; Primates; Hominidae. The record is from Rfam by way of RNAcentral.
GGGAGGUGUGCUAUCGUCUUCCCCGGGAGGUGUGAUCCUGUUCUUCCUGAGAGGUGUGAUCCUGUGCUCCCU